GGAACUUCUUUGGUAGAGUAGAGAAAGGGAAGAGAGGAAAGACGGAGUGAAGGGGAGGAGAUAAAGCCUUUACUGACACACUCAGGCAAACUUCCUCAUGUGCAUCAGAAUUCAGAGGGGAGUGCCUGGCCCUGGGCUGCUGAGGAAAUGCAUCACUUACCACCCUUCAGAAAGACGGGACAAAGGCCUGGGAGACAGCCCAGCAGGUGGAAGGUCUUGCUGUUUCAAGCGUGAGAACCCCAGGAGGCUGCAUUCUCCAUCACACAGGGACACUUCAGCCCUCAUACCCAGCCUUCAUCUACUCUCCCAGAAACAGUCACCUGUUGGUCAGCUCUUGGGUGUGUACAGUUCCUGAGGUUCACAGGCAGCUUGGUUCCAGAUCCAAGGCCUAGUCUACAAAAAGACAUUGUCUCCAAAUGGACAUUUUCUCUGGACUCUGGUAAACUCCCCUUCAAUCAUCUUCAGCUCAGCCUUCCAGCAGUCUUCAUAAUGGCAGAAACGUCAAGUGAGGGGGAAGUCUGGGAUCUUACAUACUCUUGACUUCUAUAACCUCUUUGCUGAGUAAAGAGCUCUCUAAGAAUCUUAUGGACAUAGGUGAUAGGACUCACAGGUCACUGUUGUAUUUCUGAGAGUCCCAGAAGCAUUGUCUCAGAAUGGUCCCAAAGUCCAGGAUUGCAAAUAGCUAAUCUUAAAGUACGAGUGACUAUGGAUCUUUGUUGAAAUUAAUUCUAUAAAUCAUCACACGAAAGCUAAUACAGGACCAGCAAGAUGGCCCAGCAGGUGAGAGUGCUUGCUGCCUAGUCCCUGGGACCCACAUGGUAG
This is a non-coding RNA of Peromyscus maniculatus bairdii (prairie deer mouse), 822 nucleotides long. The record is from RefSeq and is a predicted model, not a curated record. NCBI's taxonomy places the organism in Eukaryota, Metazoa, Chordata, Mammalia, Rodentia, Cricetidae.